AGAAUGUGGCAUCAAUCCCAAUGUCUGGACCAGCUGUCAGCUAGUAUUUGUCAUAAAGUGCCAGGCAGUAAAUAUUUUCCGUGUUGAGUUUCAAGGUCUGGUAUAACUAUUCAACACUGCUGCUGUUUUGUCAAAGUAGCCGCAGACAACCAUCCGUAAAUGAGCAAGUGUGUUGUGUUUACAGAAAUAGGCAGUGGUAUAGAUCAGCUCGCCAGUCAGUUUGCUGAUGCCUUUUCUGAACUAAGAAUGGAGAGGACAUGACUCCUGGUGCUAUAAUUGCUUCAGCUAUAAUCCAAGUACAGAAACUGACCUUGAAUUCCUUACCAGGAUGCUAAAUCAGUCAUAAAGAUGGGCCAAUGCAUGUUAUAUAGAGUCAAUGCCAGAGAAAGAAUAAAGAUAAAUAUGAAAAAUUAACUCACCUAUAACUCAUCUGGAUGAGAGCUGGGGUGGCUGGCCAAAGGUCUGGGAUGCAAUGUGUUAUUUAUCAUGGAGAAAGCCUGUGGUUUGGAUGGGGAAAGUCCCACAUGGGCUCCUGUGUUUCCCAGCUGAUGGUGCUCUUUGAGAAGGAUGUGGACUCUUUAGGAGGAGACUUGCUGAAGGAUAUCUGUAAAUGAAUAAUAUAUUCUAGCUAGCCUAUAUAAAAGACACAAAAUCCUGGUAUUUUAUUUAUAAGCUUAAGUCUCGAUUGGGCAGGAUCUGAGCUGUUCUCACUUACAUCCCAGUCAUACGUCCCUGACUUCUUGAUGUUUGAGUCUCACCUGGGCUGAUUCCAUUCCAGUAGCCUGUCCUCAGGAUCAGCAUAUGCCUACAUGCUCUUCAUGAUCCAUCUUGCCUUGUGCUGGCCUCCUCCUCUCUCCAUCUCCUUUCUCCUCCCCUGUGGUUUUUUUCUGAGACUCUUCACUAGAUCCUCAAGUACCACCUUUCUCUCUCUACUGCCCAGUCACAGGUGCUAGCCUUUUAUUAACCUAACUUUAAAUUGGGGAGCAAGGUUUACACAACAAAGGCCAGUGUAAGUAAGAAUUCUCUCAUCUGGAGGCCAACCAGCUCUUGGGGUUCAGAACUUAGCAUUUGUAUACAUAGUGGCAGACCAAACCCCAACAGAGGUCUGUCAUGGGACAGACUAUGAGGCAGGUUUUGUAGCCUGGCCCCAUUUCCUGCUCUUCUCUCUGUGCAGAUGAAAUAUAGUUGCUUUGCUCCCUAACUCCCAGGCCAGCCUCACGGUCCUGCUGCUAUGCCUGUCCAUGAUGAAGUGUAGUUACAGUGGCCUCUGGAACUGUCAGCCAAAAUAAGUGCUUUCCUCUUCUAAGUUGCUUUUGUUAAGGUUUUACGUCACAGCAAUGGAAAGGUAACUAAUUUGUCAUCAAAGUCCAGUUAUAAAAGGUGACUUCCAUCUUGUCGCCUUCUUUCUUUAACAACGGGAUGACAAUUCUACUCUUCAGAGUUGUGAUCAGAGUUACAGACAAUAUUCAUGUGUGUAUAGUGCAGCAGCUAGCAAUUAAUGACUAUUUUGAUGCCAUUAUUAUUGUCGUAUUUUUAUAUGUAUAUAUAUUAUGUAUAUUACUUAUGUCAUACAUAUAUGUAAAAUAUAGAUAGAAUUACCACUGAGUAGCAGGAGGUGUUAGAUCUGAGUUCCCCUCCACAUCCUAUGUAAAUAUGGAGGAGGUCUUCUAUUCAGCCAGGGUGAAACACUCCCUGCUCAGUGAGGGAAUUAGAGAGAAGUCUUGUACUGUGCACAGCCAGUUUCUCCUUCCAGAAAUCCAAUACCAAGUAUUCAAGUAUUCAAUCACCCCUUUUUUGCUGGAAGGUACUGUAGGCAUUCUUGACUCCUGGAAGGAACAACAUAGAGAAAGAAAGACAGAGUCUUCUUUUAACUUCCCUAACCUUUAGCCCUCUCACCUUUCAUUUAGCAUCAUAGCAGGAGUACAGUUGCUCCUCAGAAUUGCCAGGAUUCCAGCAGGAUAAUCUUACUGCCAGGUCCAUUAAGCCAUUCUCAGCAUCAACUCAAUGCCCCUUUGGACAUUCAUAAAAAAUUUAAAAAACCUAUCAUUUUUACUUCCUUGUAGCAGAAGUUGAAAGAAAUUAAGGCUUUCUUAUUUUCUUAUGUCUUUCCUUUGAUUAGUGGAUCCUACUUAGUGGAUCCCAUUUAUUUAUCUAUCUAAAUCUAUCAUCUAUCUAUCUAUCUAUCUAUCUAUCAUCUAUCUAUCUAUCUAUCUAUCUAUCUAUCUAUCUAUCUAUCUAUCAUCUAUUCAUUUGUUCUAUUAUUUACUUCUUUUUCUGGAUGAAAGAGUUUGCUUUGGCUGUAGGUACAUCGGGAUGAGCUACAUCAUGGUGAGGAGGCAUGGCAGCAAGUGGCAGACAUGGUGACAGAAACAGAAAGCUGAGAGCUCUCAGAACAAACUGAUGUGGAGAGGAGACUCUAAACACCCAAAGCCAAAUGUUAUGACAUACUUCCUCCAGCAAGGCUGGGCACCAAAUGGGGGACAAGUGUUCAAAACUUUUGGCCUAAUGAAGACGUUCUCAUGCAAACCACUACAAAUAUCCAGACUAUUACUCAAAAACUUACUUUCCAGAAAGAGUAACAAUGUAAGAAAUUACUUUAAAGCAAACUAUUAUUCAUAUUUGUUAUUUUCUUUCUUUCACUGAAAACAAUUUAUCUUCUUACAUGAUAUAUUUUUAUUACACUCCUCCCUCCUUCUACUCCUCCCAGUUCUUUACUUCCUCUCCCACCUGAGCCACUCCCAUUUUGUAUCACAUUGGAAAAUAAUCAGGCUUCUAAGGAUAAUAAUAAUAAAAUAAAAAGAUAAGAUAAAACAAAAACGAACAUAUCAGAAUAGGACAAAACAGG
Molecule: long non-coding RNA, 2845 nt
Filed under: Mus musculus (house mouse)
Lineage: Eukaryota; Metazoa; Chordata; Mammalia; Rodentia; Muridae
Description: long non-coding RNA chr4:102200325-102203170
Source: RNAcentral